RNAcentral lists this small RNA (964 nucleotides) under Pan troglodytes (chimpanzee). Its description in RNAcentral is "processed transcript". The record is from RNAcentral. Lineage: Eukaryota; Metazoa; Chordata; Mammalia; Primates; Hominidae.
CACUUUUAGGUUGGGCCAACUGAGAAUUUUGGGGACUUUCCUUGCUGUGAAUGUGGAAUUAAAUUGCUUUUUUAUUUUUUAUUUUUCGAGAUGGAGUCUCGCUCUGUCGCCAGGUACAGUGGCGUGAUCUCGGCUCACUGCAACCUCUGCCUCCUGGGUUCAAGCGAUUUGCCUGCCUCAGCCUCCUGAGUAGCUGGGACUAUAGGCAACUGCCACCACACCUGGCUAAUUUUUGUAUUUUUGGUAGAGACAGGGUUUCUCCAUGUUGGCCAGGAUGGUCUCGAUCUCCUGACCUCAUGAUCUGCCCGCCUCGGCCUCCCAAAGUGCUGGGAUUACAGGCGUGAGCCACUGCGCCUGGCUGCUUUUUAAUUUUUUUGGAAAGGUUGGGGGGGAUUUGGUCUAUGAUUAAUCCAUCUGGAGUUUGGUAACGGAUCCUGCAGUGAAUUUUGAAGAUUGCACCGGUCGACAAAGGACAGCCUAUUUUUCCCUCGACACCCGAUUCAAAGUGGGCACAGAUGGUGUGAUUACAGUCAAAAGGCCUCUACGGUUUCAUAACCCACAGAUCCAUUUCUUGGUCUACGCCUGGGACUCCACCUACAGAAAGUUUUCCACCAAAGUCACGCUGAAUACAGUGGGGCACCACCACCGCCCCCCGCCCCAUCAGGCCUCUGUUUCUGGAAUCCAAGCAGAAUUGCUCACAUUUCCCAACUCCUCUCCUGGCCUCAGAAGACAGAAGAGAGACUGGGUUAUUCCUCCCAUCAGCUGCCCAGAAAAUGAAAAAGGCCCAUUUCCUAAAAACCUGGUUCAGAUCAAAUCCAACAAAGACAAAGAAGGCAAGGUUUUCUACAGCAUCACUGGCCAAGGAGCUGACACACCCCCUGUUGGUGUCUUUAUUAUUGAAAGAGAAACAGGAUGGCUGAAGGUGACAGAGCCUCUGGAUAGAGAACGCAUUGCCACAUACACU